CUCAUUAAAUCAGUUAUAGUUUAUUUGAUGGUCUCUUUUGUCUUUUUUUACCUACUUGGAUAACCGUGGUAAUUCUAGAGCUAAUACAUGCGCAAGGUCCCAAGCGCGGGGCGGCUCCUCGCGGGCCGCUCGCAUGUGCAGCGGGAUGUAUUUAUUAGGUUAAAAACCAGCACUCAAAAACCUCACUGGUGAUUCAUAGUAACUCUGUUCGGAUCGCAUUCAUG
This 224-nucleotide ribosomal RNA is filed under the name uncultured Acanthamoeba. RNAcentral's name for it is "partial 18S ribosomal RNA". It matches the Rfam family "Eukaryotic small subunit ribosomal RNA", at positions 97 to 279 of the family's 1831-position model. Lineage: Eukaryota; Discosea; Longamoebia; Acanthamoebidae. The record is from RNAcentral.